AGUGUUUGGUGGCCAGUGGAUGUGGAUGAAAGAAAUCUGUAAUCUAUGACAGAACUCAAGUCAGCUGAUUUCCGUCAUUCCGUCUGAGUUUGUUUUGUUUAAUGCAAAAAGUUAGAGUAUUUCGAGAUUUUUGUUUAUUCCCCGAAAAAGAAAUUGUUUGCUGUCGAACACAUGAUCCCAUGCCCAGAAGAAACAAGAAAGACUCAAAUGGCUUUCAAGUCUGGAUGGCUUUAAACAAUAAAUGCCACACAAAAGUUGUAGGGACCAGGGAUUCAAGUUUUUGAGAACUAGAAGUCUCAAUCUAGGGGAUCCUCCGGGAAAUAUGUUUGCUGCUUUUCGAACUGUUAUUAUUACAUGUCAUCAUAUAAAACUGCAAUAAUUUGAUAUUUGACCAUUUCUAAAUCUAACAAGAGUUAUGAAAAUGAUGAGAAUGGCAUAUUGUACCGCCAUUUGGACAUAUUGCAUCGAUAACCCCUAAG
Coccinella septempunctata (seven-spotted ladybird) is the source of this 479-nucleotide long non-coding RNA. RefSeq lists it as uncharacterized. Lineage: Eukaryota; Metazoa; Arthropoda; Insecta; Coleoptera; Coccinellidae. The transcript is spliced from 2 exons. The record is from RefSeq and is a predicted model, not a curated record.